UCAUGACGACAUCAAGACGGCCCAGUCAACCCUGUUGUUGGUCCUUCACUGGUAACAGUGCUGGGAAAGGCCUUUCAUGUUCAGAGUGGCUCAGCCUUGUGGGCUCAUAAGAAAGAAGGAAAAUAAAAUUGUCUCAUAACAAUCCUCCCUGACCUCAGGCCACCAACCCUGUUGGGGUGUCAGUGAGUGGGGUACCAGGAAAGCCAAUAUAUCAGAAUCAGAGUGCAUUUUCCAGCCAAUGCAUCCUCCCUCAUUCUUUUUCAAACAGUACCAACUAACAGGACCAACCGUCCAGGUUUGCCACCAAAAGUCAGUCCCUCAUCCCCAAGCACACAGGUGUGAUAGAUCACCCUUCCCACAACACACAUUGAUGAAAGUCACCACAAGGUGACAUAGUGGGGUGACUGAGGGUAUGUGCCUGGCAUCAGCUACUUGAGCCAAAAAGGAGGUUACUAGAGGGCUGGCUGGAAGGUUGAGAGGCAGAUAUCUGCCCACUCAUGGAUUCAUAUCAUCCCUCUAACUCAGAUCUCCUCUGUUUUCAGGUCAGAGAAUAUGGAAAACAACUGGAAGGAGAUUUACACAUAUGUGAAUGAAAUGGUGAAGAAAUACACAAACCCCAAACUGCGGAUGUCCUUUGUCACCUACUCCACACAUGGCCAAACCCUCAUGACGCUCACCUCAGACAGAAAUACAAUACGGAAAGGUCUUACCAAACUUCAGAAUAUAGUGCCUUCAGGAGACAUAAACAUGCAGGAAGGAAUGAAA
Phyllostomus discolor (pale spear-nosed bat) is the source of this 765-nucleotide long non-coding RNA. RefSeq lists it as uncharacterized. The record is from RefSeq and is a predicted model, not a curated record. The transcript has 3 exons. Lineage: Eukaryota; Metazoa; Chordata; Mammalia; Chiroptera; Phyllostomidae.